GGCCGCGGGAAUUCGAUUGGCCUAACACAUGCAAGUCGAGCGGUAGAGAGAAGCUUGCUUCUCUUGAGAGCGGCGGACGGGUGAGUAAUGCCUAGGAAUCUGCCUGGUAGUGGGGGAUAACGUUCGGAAACGGACGCUAAUACCGCAUACGUCCUACGGGAGAAAGCAGGGGACCUUCGGGCCUUGCGCUAUCAGAUGAGCCUAGGUCGGAUUAGCUAGUUGGUGAGGUAAUGGCUCACCAAGGCUACGAUCCGUAACUGGUCUGAGAGGAUGAUCAGUCACACUGGAACUGAGACACGGUCCAGACUCCUACGGGAGGCAGCAGUGGGGAAUAUUGGACAAUGGGCGAAAGCCUGAUCCAGCCAGGCCGCGUGUGUGAAGAAGGUCUUCGGA
RNAcentral lists this ribosomal RNA (393 nucleotides) under uncultured bacterium. RNAcentral's name for it is "bacterial SSU rRNA". It matches the Rfam family "Bacterial small subunit ribosomal RNA", at positions 39 to 422 of the family's 1533-position model. The record is from RNAcentral.